CACGGAAAUGCUAAAAUUUCGAAACCUUGAGUCUUGUACUUCUCAUAGAGGUGUGAAAGCUCGGUGUAAUUCGACGAUGUCAACCCACAUCUUGAAGCCACAUUCACAAUCAACAAAACCUUCCCCUUAAACUUGCUAAGCGGCACCUCCUUCCCAUCAAUAUCCUUCACCGAGAAAUCAUAUAUGCUCUUCUCCGUGGCGGCGGUGGCGUAGGCCACCCCAGCCGUCCGGCUCAGCUUCUUCGCAAAGACGGGCGCUCUCGGGAGCUGGGGGGAGAGUCUCAAGCUCCAGAACGG
RNAcentral lists this unclassified non-coding RNA (296 nucleotides) under Hevea brasiliensis (rubber tree). The record is from RNAcentral. Lineage: Eukaryota; Viridiplantae; Streptophyta; Magnoliopsida; Malpighiales; Euphorbiaceae.